RNAcentral lists this ribosomal RNA (477 nucleotides) under uncultured bacterium. RNAcentral describes it as "partial 16S ribosomal RNA". It matches the Rfam family "Bacterial small subunit ribosomal RNA", at positions 28 to 507 of the family's 1533-position model. The record is from RNAcentral.
GAUGAACGCUGGCGGCGUGCCUAACACAUGCAAGUCGAACGAAGCACCUUACCUGAUUCUUCGGAUGAAAGUUUGGUGACUGAGUGGCGGACGGGUGAGUAACGCGUGGGUAACCUGCCCUGUACAGGGGGAUAACAGCUGGAAACGGCUGCUAAUACCGCAUAAGCGCACGAGGAGACAUCUCCUUGUGUGAAAAACUCCGGUGGUACAGGAUGGGCCCGCGUCUGAUUAGCUGGUUGGCAGGGUAACGGCCUACCAAGGCAACGAUCAGUAGCCGGUCUGAGAGGAUGAACGGCCACAUUGGAACUGAGACACGGUCCAAACUCCUACGGGAGGCAACAGUGGGGAAUAUUGCACAAUGGGGGAAACCCUGAUGCAGCAACGCCGCGUGAGUGAAGAAGUAUUUCGGUAUGUAAAGCUCUAUCAGCAGGGAAGAUAAUGACGGUACCUGACUAAGAAGCGCCGGCUAAAUACGUG